Molecule: ribosomal RNA, 609 nt
Filed under: uncultured bacterium
Lineage: Bacteria
Description: bacterial SSU rRNA
Rfam family: Bacterial small subunit ribosomal RNA (bases 1-520)
Source: RNAcentral
CCUACGGGAGGCAGCAGUGGGGAAUCUUGCGCAAUGGGCGAAAGCCUGACGCAGCCAUGCCGCGUGUAUGAUGAAGGUCUUAGGAUUGUAAAAUACUUUCACCGGUGAAGAUAAUGACUGUAGCCGGAGAAGAAGCCCCGGCUAACUUCGUGCCAGCAGCCGCGGUAAUACGAAGGGGGCUAGCGUUGCUCGGAAUUACUGGGCGUAAAGGGAGCGUAGGCGGACAUUUAAGUCAGAGGUGAAAUCCCGGAGCUUAACUUCGGAACUGCCUUUGAUACUGGGUGUCUUGAGUGUGAGAGAGGUAUGUGGAACUCCGAGUGUAGAGGUGAAAUUCGUAGAUAUUCGGAAGAACACCAGUGGCGAAGGCGACAUACUGGCUCAUUACUGACGCUGAGGCUCGAAAGCGUGGGGAGCAAACAGGAUUAGAUACCCUGGUAGUCCACGCCGUAAACGAUGAUUGNUAGUGUNCGGAAGCUUGUCUUCUCGGUGACGCAGACUAACGACAUUAAGCACUCCGGCCGUGGGGUAGUACGGUCGACAAGUAAUUAAAACUACAAAGUAGAAGUUAGACGGCGUGAGACGUAGCCGAAGACGACGACGAGGGAGAGG